This 69-nucleotide transfer RNA is filed under the name Hydraena helena. RNAcentral describes it as "transfer RNA-Leu". RNAcentral also lists the same sequence under 5 other names. The record is from RNAcentral. Lineage: Eukaryota; Metazoa; Arthropoda; Insecta; Coleoptera; Hydraenidae.
UUAUUAAUUAUUUUGGCAGAUUAGUGCAUUAAAUUUAGAAUUUAAUUAUGUAAUUUUUACAAAUAAUAC